AUGGCCGCAAGCCCGCAAAGGGAGGUGGGGGAAGGAAGACGGCGCGGGAUCACGGGCUGCUGCUCCCGGUCCCCGGCCGCUCCCGGCUCCCGAGGGCGCGCUCCACCGCCACCUCCCCCUUCUUCUUCCUCCCUCCCAUUCCAAGAUCCAACGCUAACUGCUCCUCCUCCUGCUCGUACUCUGCUCCUCCAGACGGCGCGCCCCGCCAUGCUCGCACCGGCCCUCUCCCUCCCCGCCCCCUCCGCCGCCGCCGCCACGCCGACGCUGCUCCCGGUCUCCUCCUCCUCCUGCGCGCCAGGCAUCGCCGUCCCGCCUCUCGCCGCGCGCCCGAUCUCGCGCCGCGCCGGGUGCGCCCCCGCGCUCCGGACCGCCGCCGCCUCCUCGCCCUUCGCGGUGCCGCGCGCCGUGCCCGAGGGCGGCCCCGCGUCGCCGCUGCUCGCCGUGCCGGUGCCCGACGACGAGGACGCCGACGCCGCCAUGGACGGCGGCGACGGGGGCGAGCAGACCGGCCUCGCGACGCGCCCGGCGGCGGCCGUCGUGGCCCCGCCGCGGCCGCCGCCCGAGCGGGACUUCGCCGGCACGCCCUACGUGCCCGUCUACGUCAUGCUCCCGCUCGGGGUGGUGACCGUGAAGGGCGAGGUGGCGGAGGCGGACGAGCUGGUGGCGCAGCUGCGGGUGCUCAAGGCGGCGGGCGUCGACGGCGUCAUGGUCGACUGCUGGUGGGGCAACGUCGAGGCGCACCGGCCGCAGGAGUACAACUGGGCCGGCUACAAGCGCCUCUUCCACAUCAUCAGGGACCUCAAGCUCAAGCUGCAGGUGGUCAUGUCGUUCCAUGAAUGCGGAGGCAAUGUCGGAGAUGACGUGUCCAUUCCUCUCCCGGAAUGGGUGAUAGAGAUCGGAAAGAGCAACCCGGACAUCUACUUCACCGACAGGGAGGGAAGGCGUAAUACGGAGUGCCUCUCGUGGGGCAUCGAUAAAGAAAGGGUUCUACAAGGCCGAACUGCGGUCGAGGUGUACUUUGACUUCAUGAGAAGCUUCCGAGUAGAAUUUGACGAGUAUUUUGAGGAUGGGAUCAUUUCAGAAAUUGAGGUUGGACUAGGUGCUUGUGGAGAGUUACGGUAUCCAUCUUAUGCAGCAAACCAUGGCUGGAAAUACCCUGGCAUUGGAGAGUUUCAGUGCUAUGACAGGUACUUGCAGAAAAAUCUGAGGAGGGCCGCAGAAGCACGGGGACACGCCAUGUGGGCAAAGUCACCAGACAACGCUGGCCACUAUAAUUCUGAACCAAACAACACUGGAUUCUUCUGUGACGGAGGAGAUUAUGAUAGCUAUUAUGGCCGGUUCUUCCUCAACUGGUACGCCCAGGUGCUGCUGGAUCAUGCGGACCGCGUGCUGAUGCUAGCCAGGUUGGCCUUUGAAGGCUCAGCUAUUGCUGUCAAGGUGUCAGGCAUACACUGGUGGUACAAAACUGCCAGCCAUGCUGCUGAGCUGACUGCUGGGUUCUACAACCCAUGUAACCGCGACGGCUACGCUCCAAUUGCUCAAGUAUUGAAAAAGCAUGGUGCGGCUUUGAACUUCACCUGCGUUGAACUGCGCACCAUGGAUCAGCAUGAGGUGUACCCCGAGGCCUUGGCUGAUCCAGAGGGCUUGGUAUGGCAGGUGCUGAAUGCUGCAUGGGAUGCCGGGAUACAAGUGGCCAGCGAGAACGCUCUGCCUUGCUAUGACAGGGACGGCUUCAACAAGACACUGGAGAACGCCAAGCCGCGGAACGACCCCGAUGGGCGGCACCUGUUCGGGUUCACCUACCUGAGGCUCUGCAGCACCCUCUUCGAGGGACCCAACCUCCCGGAGUUUGAGCGUUUCGUCAAGAGGAUGCACGGCGAAGCGGUUCAUGACCUGAGGGCGUAG
This 1905-nucleotide ribosomal RNA is filed under the name Triticum aestivum (bread wheat). RNAcentral's name for it is "partial small subunit ribosomal RNA". Lineage: Eukaryota; Viridiplantae; Streptophyta; Magnoliopsida; Poales; Poaceae. The record is from RNAcentral.